UGAAGCGGAGGCUCGUCCGAGGCGGCGUCCGCCUCCCGGAACCGAGUUCUGACCCAGAGGUUCUGACCCGGCAAACGGCUGGGAUGGCGAGAAGCGUCCUGACAGAUGCGGGUCAGCCCGAUCUCCGAAGGCGCACGUGGCCUCAUCCCACUUCUCUGCCCAGCGCCCUCCCGUGGCUUCUUCCUCUCUUAGUCGGUAAAAGCCAAGGCCCGCGCACACAGUCGAGUCCCAUGGGCUCCUAGCCACUCGCCCAUCGAUCUCUCUCUCGAAAGGGGGUGAGUAUGCUUCCCCAUGUAGGCCUUGGCACUUGCUGUGUGCCUGCGCCAGGUGUGCUUUUCUUAUGCCGACCUGGCAUUCCUUCACUUCAUUCGUCUGCUGCCAUGUCACCUUUUAAGACAGACUUUCCCUGACCUUGUGUCAAGUGGCAACCGCUGCCAGCACCCGUUUCCCACCGCCGCCCCUCCCUAGCUCCCUCUCAGUUGCUGGCUUCCCGCCGGUAACACUUAUCAACAUCUGACACGUUUUAUAUGUUGUUUUCUAUGUCCGCCACCCCUACUAGAACGUGAUACGCUCCACAUGGAUAGGAAUUUUGUCUAGUUCCCUGCUGUACCACUAGUGCCUAGAACCACUGUCUGGCACGCAGUAGGUGUUCGUUGUUGAAGAAGUGAAUAAAUGGUCUGUGCCCAUGCACAGGCCGAAGUUGUUCCAAGCGGCUGAUAUUCAACAUACCCACAAUAUUGUCAUGAUUUUGACAUUGGCAGUGCCCACUCUCAGGAUGCCUUGUAUCCACUCUGUAUCUUGAAAGCUGGCUCUGUACUCUUAGCCAUGACUGAGAUUCCUCCGCACUGUGGUGUGCUGUUCCAAGGACAAAGGCAUUCAAGUUUUUCAUGAAAAACCAGGAGUUUCUUGAAGACAAAGAAUAGAAAAGAGCAAUUUAACUACUAAGGUGGGUAUGGAACUAGGUAUAUAUCUAGGAUAGAUCAAUUAAGCUCUGCUCAGAUGUCAACAGAGCAGGUGAAGGAGGCUUGUGUCAAUCCAGAAGGUUCUUGGGAAAAUUUACCUUCGCUGCCAAGUUCCUUUAAGCCUAAAAAUCUACAGCUGAUGACUAAUCCUUUAUUCCAUAUUAAAACGCAAAUACCCUAAGAGAGAGGAUAUUGAAUUUCAGCAGUCAUUAGCACCUUUGUGUGAAUUACUCCGGAAUCUUUCUUGAAGGCAGGUUUGGAAAAGGCAAGGGGAGAAAGGAGGAGCUAAGGAACAAGGGGAAGAAAAGUUCCAGAGCCAAGGAAGGAGCAUAAAGCUGAGCUUGCCAAGGACAAACUUUGGCCUGUUUUAUAGUUUCGCCCAGGGCUGUCUCUGGUAAUCAAAGUACAGCAGGUCCUCAAACAAUGAGGUUUCAAUAUGAUGUUGAUGAGAGAAAAAAAUUGAACCCCAGUUGGGGCCACUGUCGGUGGAGUUUGCAUAUUCUCCCGGUGUCUGCGUGGGUUUUCUUGGGGGACUUCGGUUCCCUCCCACAUCUCAAAAAGGGGCAUGGAGGUGAAUGUCUAAAUGGUUCCCACCUGAGUGCGAGUGUGCCCUACGGUGGAAGGUGGUUCGCACCUGAGCUUCUGGGAUAGGCUCUGGCCACCCACAACCCUGAACUAAAAUAAGUGGGUUGGAAAAUAAUUAUGUUACUUGUUUUUAUUAAUUUUUCUUUCAGUGUUUAAUGUUAGAGGUCUUUGGGGUCUUUAUUUAGAUGUUUGGUGAUGUUUUUGUGGCCAGAAUUGAACCCUUGUUUGUGUCAGUAAGCCUACGGAUAAAUUGGUGUCAUUAUAUCUUGUUUGGCUUGAAGUCACCGUUUCCAAGAACCUGUUGACAAUGUUAGGUGAGGCCUUGCUGUACACAUGAUCUCUAGCUCCAGAUUCUCAGUAGGCAAAUCAUGGCACUUAAAAUUAUAGCUAUAAUUACCUGAAAUGUUUUGAUAACCCAGUGGGGACAAGGUACAUUGGAAACGAAGAGGAAGGGCUGACCUAGAAUGUAGUGGGACUGAAAGGCUAUCAGAUUUUUGGAAAGAUAAGCAGGAAAGGGCGGAGGCAUUGCAUUAUACAUAUGCACAUGAUCCUGGCCGGAGAAAUAGGAAACCGAAUGAAAAGAGUUUUUGUGUGGAGGUAAAAUGAGUAAAAUGGAGCACUAUGUGCUCUCAGUUGACAUGCCAGGAACAAAAAGGUGAGACAGGUUUCUUUGAGCAAGCAGCAAGGGAUGGUGAGGGAAAAUACUAAAGACCAAUAUAUUUUUUAAAAGACCAAUAUAUAUACAUGCUUUUAAAAAAGUAACAGGUCACCAAUAUCAGACAAGUACCUCCACGUUUGAAGAAUUUGGUUCUUCAUUGUAGGAGUUUUUGUAAUCAAUCAGGGCGGACGCCUUUGUUGAUUUGUUAUUUCUGGUAGAAAAGAAUGAGGCAAGAGCCUGGAGGGAGGCAACAGCUUUGCUGGAGGUGACCAUACGGUGAUGAAAGUUGGGGUUGUGUCGCACAGGGAGCUGUUUCCACACAUAGUGUGCAAGCAGGGCAUGUGUGCCCUGGGUAAAGGUGGGAAAGAGAUGUUUUCACUCCUUUAGUUUCUUCUGGUUUGGAGAAUCUGCCUCUCACCAGCUGUGUGAACUCCAGCAAGUUUAAAACCCCCACCUGUCUGUUUCCCUAUCCAUGAAAUGGGAGUGAAGACUAGUAGUUCCUGUUGCUGAGGUCUUUUAUUAUUAUUAUUAUUAUUAUGCUCACUGAGGUCUUUUAUUUUAUUAUGUUUUUAUUGAUUUGAGAGAGAGGAAGGGAGAGGAAGAGAGAAACAGUGAUGUGCUUUUGGUGUCAUACCUAAGAAGGCUUUGCCUAACUCAAGGUUACAGAGAUUUACUUCUGUAUUUUCUUCUAAGAGUUGUAUAGUUUUAGCUCUUACAGUUAAGUCUGUGAUCCAUUUGGAGUUCAUUUUAUACAUGGUAUGAGGCAGGGAUCCAACUUCAUUCUUUUGCGUGUGGAGAUCCAGUUGUCCCAACAAGAGACUAUUCUUCCCCCAUUACGUUGUCUUGGUACCCUUGUCAAAUUAAUUGACUAUAAAUGUGAGCGUUUAUUUCUGGACAGCGUGAAACUUUUAAAACAUUUAUACUUGCAAGGGAUGGGGGAGGGAGAAUUAGUGAUUAGGGGGGCUUCAGAGGUACUGGGAAUGUUCUGUUUCAUGAACUGAGUGUGUUUAGUUUAUGAAAACUCACGAUAUACUUAAAAUAAUGGACUUUUUGUAUAUUAUACUGCAAUAAAAAAUUAUGUCUUUUUUAA
Molecule: non-coding RNA, 3295 nt
Organism: Miniopterus natalensis
Lineage: Eukaryota; Metazoa; Chordata; Mammalia; Chiroptera; Miniopteridae
Source: RefSeq, a predicted model, not a curated record